GAGGGUAUAACUCAGUGGUAGAGCGCAUGCUCAGCAUGAAGGAGGUCCUGGGUUCAAUCCCAGUACCUCCA
RNAcentral lists this transfer RNA (71 nucleotides) under Camelus bactrianus (Bactrian camel). It matches the Rfam family "tRNA". Rfam says of the family: Transfer RNA (tRNA) molecules are approximately 80 nucleotides in length. Their secondary structure includes four short double-helical elements and three loops (D, anti-codon, and T loops). Lineage: Eukaryota; Metazoa; Chordata; Mammalia; Artiodactyla; Camelidae. The record is from Rfam by way of RNAcentral. RNAcentral also lists the same sequence under 3 other names.